RNAcentral lists this long non-coding RNA (740 nucleotides) under Ananas comosus (pineapple). RNAcentral describes it as "long non-coding RNA (ACOM_LNC027591)". The record is from RNAcentral. Lineage: Eukaryota; Viridiplantae; Streptophyta; Magnoliopsida; Poales; Bromeliaceae.
AAAUUAAAAUUGAAUUUUAAAAUUUUAAAUUUUGAAAUUUAAAUUUUUAUUUUGAAAUUUAAAAUUUAGAAAUUGAUACAUCUUUGGGAGCCCAAAAUUGUGAAAUUUUUUUUCUUUGGUUAAAGUGGAUUGUAAGUUUACUCCAUUUUUUGGAGUAUAGUAUAACUAUACUCUAAAAAUUACGUUAUUUUUUUUUCUUCCAAACGCUUCAUAGGAUUAUUUUUAUACCGGCGUAGCAUAGUUUAACUAUGCUACGUUUUUAAAGGCAUCCAAACGGGGCCUUAGACUUCCUUUGUUAGGAUUUCGUAGCUGAAGCUAUAUGGAACUUGAGCCUCUCUUGUUCUCCCUUUGGUAAGGCUAGCAGUGUUGGGCCUUUCUUCUCUCUGUUUGGAUUUAUUUUUCUUAUUAUUAAGUCAUGGGUAAAUUACACCGGUAAUUUGCCGAAUCUUUAGGAAGUUGUAUUUAGCUUAUAUUUUUUUUGAAGUUAAAUAUAAUAAUUCAAAACUUUUAUAGAUGAUUUAAUACAUUUACGACGUUUUUUUUUUAGAGAAAUGUAGCAUGUUAUUCGUUUCGUUCAUUUUCUUUUAAAAAUAAACCUAGCUAAAAAUGUGAAUUAAUUAGGAUUCGAAUUUGAGACUUUGGAUACUAACCACCAAACUCUUUAUCAUUUGCUCUAGGGGCAGUUGGUCAUUUACGACGUUGAAAGAAUAAAAACUAAAAUAAAAGUUUGAAAAAAAAAU